RNAcentral lists this transfer RNA (70 nucleotides) under Stenischia humilis. RNAcentral describes it as "tRNA-Lys". The record is from RNAcentral. Lineage: Eukaryota; Metazoa; Arthropoda; Insecta; Siphonaptera; Hystrichopsyllidae.
CAUAAGAUGACUGAAAGUAAGUACUGGUCUCUUAAACCAUUUAAUAGUAUUUAACGAAUACUUCUUAUGA